GACGUAGGGCGCGAGCGCUGUCCGGAUUUAUUGGGCGUAAAGAGCUCGUAGGCGGCUUGUCGCGUCGACUGUGAAAACCCGAGGCUCAACUUCGGGCUUGCAGUCGAUACGGGCAGGCUAGAGUUCGGUAGGGGAGACUGGAAUUCCUGGUGUAGCGGUGAAAUGCGCAGAUAUCAGGAGGAACACCGAUGGCGAAGGCAGGUCUCUGGGCCGAUACUGACGCUGAGGAGCGAAAGCGUGGGGAGCGAACAGG
This 253-nucleotide ribosomal RNA is filed under the name uncultured bacterium. RNAcentral describes it as "partial 16S ribosomal RNA". It matches the Rfam family "Bacterial small subunit ribosomal RNA", at positions 524 to 776 of the family's 1533-position model. The record is from RNAcentral.